This 450-nucleotide ribosomal RNA is filed under the name uncultured bacterium. RNAcentral describes it as "partial 16S ribosomal RNA". It matches the Rfam family "Bacterial small subunit ribosomal RNA", at positions 354 to 796 of the family's 1533-position model. The record is from RNAcentral.
GUGGGGAAUAUUGGACAAUGGGCGAAAGCCUGAUCCAGCCAUGCCGCGUGUGUGAAGAAGGUCUUCGGAUUGUAAAGCACUUUAAGUUGGGAGGAAGGGCAGUAAGUUAAUACCUUGCUGUUUUGACGUUACCGACAGAAUAAGCACCGGCUAACUUCGUGCCAGCAGCCGCGGUAAUACGAAGGGUGCAAGCGUUAAUCGGAAUUACUGGGCGUAAAGCGCGCGUAGGUGGUUUUGUAAGUUGGAGGUGAAAUCCCCGGGCUCAACCUGGGAACUGCCUCCAAUACUGCAUGACUAGAGUACGGUAGAGGGUAGUGGAAUUUCCUGUGUAGCGGUGAAAUGCGUAGAUAUAGGAAGGAACACCAGUGGCGAAGGCGACUACCUGGACUGAUACUGACACUGAGGUGCGAAAGCGUGGGGAGCAAACAGGAUUAGAUACCCGAGUAGUCC